CAGUAGCCGCGGUAACACGUAGGUGGCAAGCGUUGUCCGGAAUUAUUGGGCGUAAAGGGCUCGCAGGCGGUUUCUUAAGUCUGAUGUGAAAGCCCCCGGCUCAACCGGGGAGGGUCAUUGGAAACUGGGAAACUUGAGUGCAGAAGAGGAGAGUGGAAUUCCACGUGUAGCGGUGAAAUGCGUAGAGAUGUGGAGGAACACCAGUGGCGAAGACGACUCUCUGGUCUGUAACUGACGCUGAGGAGCGAAAGCGUGGGGAGCGAACAGGAUUAGAUACCCCGGUAGUCCCUGUCUCUUAUAC
RNAcentral lists this ribosomal RNA (301 nucleotides) under uncultured bacterium. Its description in RNAcentral is "partial 16S ribosomal RNA". It matches the Rfam family "Bacterial small subunit ribosomal RNA", at positions 509 to 807 of the family's 1533-position model. The record is from RNAcentral.